CUUUAUCACACCAGAAAGUACAGCGUGACUGAGAAUUCAUAUAAACCUUCCAAAAAUCUUCUCUCAGAAAAUGAACCGGAUCUCUCCUGGGCCUCAUACACCUCACAGAUAACAAAUCUUCAUCCAAAAAAACGUUUAGCUUUUUGUUGUGAUGAAUUUCUUGCGAGUCUUCCAUUUAACUUCUUUAACAACUUCACGAUGAUCUUUGCAGAUAAGCUCAUUCCCACAGAGGUUCCUUCUCCUACAGAGAAUUAUGUCGAGGACAGG
RNAcentral lists this long non-coding RNA (267 nucleotides) under Homo sapiens (human). RNAcentral's name for it is "HSALNT0156247". Lineage: Eukaryota; Metazoa; Chordata; Mammalia; Primates; Hominidae. The record is from RNAcentral.